This 117-nucleotide ribosomal RNA is filed under the name Vibrio viridaestus. Its description in RNAcentral is "Vibrio sp. LJC006 partial 23S ribosomal RNA". The stretch from base 1 to 97 matches the Rfam family "Bacterial large subunit ribosomal RNA", at positions 2828 to 2925 of the family's 2925-position model. Lineage: Bacteria; Pseudomonadati; Pseudomonadota; Gammaproteobacteria; Vibrionales; Vibrionaceae. The record is from RNAcentral.
AAAGGGUUGUUCGAGACUAGAACGUUGAUAGGCAGGGUGUGUAAGCGUUGUGAGGCGUUGAGCUAACCUGUACUAAUUGCCCGUGAGGCUUAACCAUACAACACCCAAAGGGUUUUG